UUUUGGACAAUGGGCGAAAGCCUGAUCCAGCAAUGCCGCGUGCAGGAUGAAGGCCUUCGGGUUGUAAACUGCUUUUGUACGGAACGAAAAAGCUUCUCCUAAUACGAGAGGCCCAUGACGGUACCGUAAGAAUAAGCACCGGCUAACUACGUGCCAGCAGCCGCGGUAAUACGUAGGGUGCGAGCGUUAAUCGGAAUUACUGGGCGUAAAGCGUGCGCAGGCGGUUAUGUAAGACAGAUGUGAAAUCCCCGGGCUCAACCUGGGAACUGCAUUUGUGACUGCAUGGCUAGAGUACGGUAGAGGGGGAUGGAAUUCCGCGUGUAGCAGUGAAAUGCGUAGAUAUGCGGAGGAACACCGAUGGCGAAGGCAAUCCCCUGGACCUGUACUGACGCUCAUCACGAAG
Molecule: ribosomal RNA, 403 nt
Filed under: uncultured bacterium
Lineage: Bacteria
Description: bacterial SSU rRNA
Rfam family: Bacterial small subunit ribosomal RNA
Source: RNAcentral